Molecule: ribosomal RNA, 420 nt
Filed under: uncultured bacterium
Lineage: Bacteria
Description: bacterial SSU rRNA
Rfam family: Bacterial small subunit ribosomal RNA
Source: RNAcentral
GGAAUAUUGGUCAAUGGGCGCGAGCCUGAACCAGCCAAGUAGCGUGAAGGAUGAAGGUCCUAUGGAUUGUAAACUUCUUUUAUAGCAGAAUAAAGUGACCCACGUGUGGGUUUUUGUAUGUAUGCUAUGAAUAAGGAUCGGCUAACUCCGUGCCAGCAGCCGCGGUAAUACGGAGGAUCCGAGCGUUCUCCGGAUUUAUUGGGUUUAAAGGGUGCGUAGGCGGAAAGAUAAGUCAGCCUGUGAAAGUUUGCGGCUCAACCGUAAAAUUGCAGUUGAUACUGUUUUUCUUGAGUGUACAUAAGGGUGGCGGAAUUCGUGGUGUAGCGGUGAAAUGCUUAGAUAUCACGAAGAACUCCGAUUGCGAAGGCAGCUUACCGGGGUACAACUGACGCUGAUGCACGAAAGUGUGGGUAUCAAACA